UGGGGAAUUUUGGACAAUGGGCGAAAGCCUGAUCCAGCAAUGCCGCGUGUGUGAAGAAGGCCUUCGGGUUGUAAAGCACUUUUGUCCUGAAAGAAAUCCUUGGCUCUAAUACAGUCGGGGGAUGACGGUACCGGAAGAAUAAGCACCGGCUAACUACGUGCCAGCAGCCGCGGUAAUACGUAGGGUGCAAGCGUUAAUCGGAAUUACUGGGCGUAAAGCGUGCGCAGGCGGUUUGCUAAGACCGAUGUGAAAUCCCCGGGCUCAACCUGGGAACUGCAUUGGUGACUGGCAGGCUAGAGUAUGGCAGAGGGGGGUAGAAUUCCACGUGUAGCAGUGAAAUGCGUAGAGAUGUGGAGGAAUACCGAUGGCGAAGGCAGCCCCCUGGGCCAAUACUGACGCUCAUGCACGAAAGCGUGGGGAGCAAACAGGAUUAGAUACCCUGGUAGUCCACGCCCUAAACGAUGUCAACUAGUUGUUGGGGAUUCAUUUCCUUAGUAACGUAGCUAACGCGUGAAGUU
This 518-nucleotide ribosomal RNA is filed under the name uncultured bacterium. RNAcentral's name for it is "partial 16S ribosomal RNA". It matches the Rfam family "Bacterial small subunit ribosomal RNA", at positions 355 to 866 of the family's 1533-position model. The record is from RNAcentral.